UUGGUCACCGGCGCUGAGACACCGCCAGCUGUCUGUGACCCAGCCCCUACGGCGGCUGAGUCCUUCCCUUCCCCUCGAUUAAACUUCCGCGAUGGGCAUCACCUCUGCUCUCCUCCAAGACGGUUCGGAAGCAGGAACUUCUGCUCCUAACCCCAGGCCCACCACUUUCCCCUCAAACCACCGGGAUAAAGUUAGGGCCACAGUCUUCGGAUUUUCUCGCCACGCAGGACAGUACCCGGCCAGCUCCGGGACGUUUCGGUUCCCCAAGACCGACGCGGGUUCGUGAAGCCCCCGCGCCCUUGCCAAGACCAGGCUGCGAUCCGGGUCCGGGCCUCGAAUCCAGACGGGUUCUGGAGGGGUCCCGGAGGGGCCCGGGGCACGACCUGACCGGCCGCUACCACAGGUGUCCCUCUGGACUCGGCGGACAGGACGGUAAAUACACAGGAGUGGAAUAGCUGGUUGUAAGUUCAUCAAAAACUAGGAUCAGUGUGACUACCCUGACACCAACAUACUGGGAGAACCCAAUAUGUGGCAAGGCCCUGGUGGAUGAGAAGCCAUGUGGAAAGAGAGAGGCCAAGGAGCCCCAAGGCAACAGACAGGUGCAUGAAGAAGCCAUCUAGCAAGAAGAUCCUUCCAGCCUGAGCCAGUCAAGCCAGCCCCCUAGUUGAGUCCUUCCUGAAUUCCUGACCCACAUAAAACCUAAUAUCAAACCAUUAUAAUAUAAAUUAGAAAAGGGGUUAAAAUGGUCCCCCUCCUCUUUUUUUUUACACUAGACUCCAAAAGAGGAACUUAUUUUCUUAUCUUACAAAAAGUUCUUUGUUGAAACAUACUUUCAAUGGAAAACUAUCAAAUUGUUAAAAAGAGAAGGGGGGCAGCAGCCUCUCUAAGAGAAUUUAUAAGAAACUGUAAUAGUGAUUGCUUCUGGAAAGGAUAACCAAGGCUUGGGAGACAGGGAUAGGAGAGAGAGUUACAUUUCACCAUCUACCGUUUUGAACUGUUUGAUUCUUACAAAUAUAUGCCUGUAUCAUUUAGUGAAAUAAAUAUUUUCAAAAUUA
Choloepus didactylus (southern two-toed sloth) is the source of this 1055-nucleotide long non-coding RNA. RefSeq lists it as uncharacterized. The transcript is spliced from 3 exons. NCBI's taxonomy places the organism in Eukaryota, Metazoa, Chordata, Mammalia, Pilosa, Megalonychidae. The record is from RefSeq and is a predicted model, not a curated record.